GACGAACGCUGGCGGCGUGCUUAACACAUGCAAGUCGAACGGAAAGGCCCUGCUUUUGUGGGGUGCUCGAGUGGCGAACGGGUGAGUAACACGUGAGUAACCUGCCCUUGACUUUGGGAUAACUUCAGGAAACUGGGGCUAAUACCGGAUAGGAGCUCCUGCUGCAUGGUGGGGGUUGGAAAGUUUCGGCGGUUGGGGAUGGACUCGCGGCUGAUCAGCUUGUUGGUGGGGUAGUGGCUUACCAAGGCUUUGACGGGUAGCCGGCCUGAGAGGGUGACCGGCCACAUUGGGACUGAGAUACGGCCCAGACUCCUACGGGAGGCAGCAGUGGGGAAUAUUGCACAAUGGGCGGAAGCCUGAUGCAGCAACGCCGCGUGCGGGAUGACGGCCUUCGGGCUGUAAACCGCUUUCGCCUGUGACGAAGCGUGAGUGACGGUAAUGGGUAAAGAAGCACCGGCUAACUACGUG
This 468-nucleotide ribosomal RNA is filed under the name uncultured bacterium. Its description in RNAcentral is "partial 16S ribosomal RNA". It matches the Rfam family "Bacterial small subunit ribosomal RNA", at positions 28 to 507 of the family's 1533-position model. The record is from RNAcentral.